GUCUAUGGCCAUGCAACCCAGAACAAGCCCUAUGUCUGAUCUUGGAAGCUAAGCAGAGUCGGGCAUGGUUAUUACUUGGAUGGGAGACCACCUAGGAAGACCAGCUGCUGUAGGCG
This 116-nucleotide ribosomal RNA is filed under the name Pteropus alecto (black flying fox). The record is from RNAcentral. Lineage: Eukaryota; Metazoa; Chordata; Mammalia; Chiroptera; Pteropodidae.